This 700-nucleotide long non-coding RNA is filed under the name Pan troglodytes (chimpanzee). RNAcentral describes it as "long non-coding RNA NONPTRT000780". The record is from RNAcentral. Lineage: Eukaryota; Metazoa; Chordata; Mammalia; Primates; Hominidae.
AACGGUGCUGCUAAGACAUGGUGGCUGUGGUGGACGGUGCUGCUGAGACAUGGUGGCUGUGGUGAACGGUGCCGAGACAUGGUGGCUGUGGUGGACGGUGCCGAGACAUGGUGGCUGUGGUGGACGGUGCCGAGACAUGGUGGCUGUGGUGGACGGUGCCGAGACAUGGUGGCUGUGGUGGACGGUGCCGAGACAUGGUGGCUGUGGUGAACGGUGCUGUCGAGACAUGGUGGCUGUGGUGGAUGGUGCUGCUGAGACAUGGUGGCUGUGGUGAACGGUGCUGAGACAUGGUGGCUGUGGUGGUUGGUGCCGAGACAUGGUGGCUGUGGUGGAUGGUGCCGAGACAUGGUGGCUGUGGUGAACGGUGCUGCUGAGACAUGGUGGCUAUGGUGAACGGUGCUGAGACAUGGUGGCUGUGGUGGACGGUGCUGCUGAGACAUGGUGGCUGUGGUGAACGGUGCUGAGACAUGGGGCUGUGGUGAAUGGUGCUGCCGAGACAUGGUGGCUGUGGUGAACGGUGCUGCUAAUGUGUCUGGAAUUGGUGGAUUCUUGGUCUCACUGACUUCAAGAUUGAAGCCGCAGACCCUCGCAAUGAGUGUUACAGUUCUUAAAGAUGGUGUGUCCGGAGUUUGUUCCUUCUGAUGUUCGGAUGUGUUUGGAGUUUCUUCCUUCUGGUGGGUUCGUGGUCUCGCUGGCUUCA